Molecule: long non-coding RNA, 200 nt
Filed under: Elaeis guineensis (African oil palm)
Lineage: Eukaryota; Viridiplantae; Streptophyta; Magnoliopsida; Arecales; Arecaceae
Description: long non-coding RNA (EGUI_LNC020929)
Source: RNAcentral
CAGAGUUGCUGAAGAAGAAGUUGCUCUGAUUUAAGAAGAAGCACCGAUUGGGUCCGAAAUCGUUCAAGUCGACGAGGCUACACCCGAGCAAAUGAACAAAAAUGAUGAUGAAGCUUAGUCGGUGUAUUUUGCUUUCUUUUUUGUAAUCAGAUACCUGUAAUCGGACUUCGGUCCAAUUUUGUAACUUCUUAUUUUGGCAA